Molecule: ribosomal RNA, 926 nt
Filed under: uncultured bacterium
Lineage: Bacteria
Description: bacterial SSU rRNA
Rfam family: Bacterial small subunit ribosomal RNA
Source: RNAcentral
GAUCCUAGCUUGCUAGGAGGCGUCGAGCGGCGGACGGGUGAGUAAUGCAUAGGAAUCUGCCCGGUAGUGGGUGGAUAACCUGGUGGAAACCCAGGCUAAUACCGCAUACGCCCUACGGGGGAAAGCAGGGGAUCUUCGGACCUUGCGCUAUCGGAUGAGCCUAUGUCGGAUUAGCUAGUUGGUGAGGUAACGGCUCACCAAGGCUGCGAUCCGUAGCUGGUCUGAGAGGAUGAUCAGCCACAUCGGGACUGAGACACGGCCCGAACUCCUACGGGAGGCAGCAGUGGGGAAUAUUGGACAAUGGGCGAAAGCCUGAUCCAGCCAUGCCGCGUGUGUGAAGAAGGCCUUCGGGUUGUAAAGCACUUUCAGUGAGGAAGAAAGCCUUGAGGUUAAUACCCUCGAGGGAGGACAUCACUCACAGAAGAAGCACCGGCUAACUCCGUGCCAGCAGCCGCGGUAAUACGGAGGGUGCGAGCGUUAAUCGGAAUUACUGGGCGUAAAGCGCGCGUAGGCGGCUUGAUAAGCCGGUUGUGAAAGCCCCGGGCUCAACCUGGGAACGGCAUCCGGAACUGUCAGGCUAGAGUGCAGGAGAGGAAGGUAGAAUUCCCGGUGUAGCGGUGAAAUGCGUAGAGAUCGGGAGGAAUACCAGUGGCGAAGGCGGCCUUCUGGACUGACACUGACGCUGAGGUGCGAAAGCGUGGGUAGCAAACAGGAUUAGAUACCCUGGUAGUCCACGCCGUAAACGAUGUCGACUAGCCGUUGGGCUCCUUGAGAGCUUUGUGGCGCAGUUAACGCGAUAAGUCGACCGCCUGGGGAGUACGGCCGCAAGGUUAAAACUCAUAUGAAUUGACGGGGGCCCGCACAAGCGGUGGAGCAUGUGGUUUAAUUCGAUGCAACGCGUAGAACCUUACCUACCCUUGACAUCG